GGCUGGUCUGAGGGCAGUGGUAUUUACAACUGUUGACCACAAUCAGUUACAGAUUUCUUUGUUCUUGCUCCACACCUGCUGCUUCAUUUGAUUAGUCUUUU
Molecule: unclassified non-coding RNA, 101 nt
Organism: Gorilla gorilla gorilla (western lowland gorilla)
Lineage: Eukaryota; Metazoa; Chordata; Mammalia; Primates; Hominidae
Rfam family: Y RNA
About the family: Y RNAs are components of the Ro ribonucleoprotein particle (Ro RNP), in association with Ro60 and La proteins. The Y RNAs and Ro60 and La proteins are well conserved, but the function of the Ro RNP is not known.
Source: Ensembl